GAUGAACGCUGGCGGCGUGCCUAAUACAUGCAAGUCGAGCGAACGGACGAGAAGCUUGCUUCUCUGAUGUUAACGGCGGACGGGUGAGUAACACGUGGAUAACCUACCUAUAAGCCUGGGAUAACUUCGGGAAACCGUAGCUAAUACCGGAUAAUAUUUUGAACCGCAUGGUUCAAAAGUGAAAGACGGUCUUGCUGUCACUUAUAGAUGGAUCCGCGCUGCAUUAGCUAGUUGGUAAGGUAACGGCUUACCAAGGCAACGAUGCAUAGCCGACCUGAGAGGGUGAUCGGCCACACUGGAACUGAGACACGGUCCAGACUCCUACGGGAGGCAGCAGUAGGGAAUCUUCCGCAAUGGGCGAAAGCCUGACGGAGCAACGCCGCGUGAGUGAUGAAGGUCUUCGGAUCGUAAAACGCUGUUAUUAGGGAAGAACAUAUGUGUAAGUAACUGUGCACAUCUUGACGGUACCUAAUCAGAAAGCCACGGCUAACUACGU
Molecule: ribosomal RNA, 496 nt
Filed under: uncultured bacterium
Lineage: Bacteria
Description: partial 16S ribosomal RNA
Rfam family: Bacterial small subunit ribosomal RNA
Source: RNAcentral